GGAGGAUUCGCCUAGAGGCCUAGGGCGCCGCACUGCUAAUGCGGUUGGGGGCAACCCCCUCAUGGGUUCAAAUCCCAUAUCCUCCG
This 86-nucleotide transfer RNA is filed under the name Nocardiopsis eucommiae. It matches the Rfam family "tRNA". Rfam says of the family: Transfer RNA (tRNA) molecules are approximately 80 nucleotides in length. The record is from Rfam by way of RNAcentral. Lineage: Bacteria; Bacillati; Actinomycetota; Actinomycetes; Streptosporangiales; Nocardiopsidaceae.